AACGAACGCUGGCGGCAGGCUUGACACAUGCAAGUCGAGCGCGUGGCAACACGAGCGGCAGACGGGUGAGUAACACGUGGGAACAUACCCUUUUCUACGGAAUAACGCAGGGAAACUUGUGCUAAUACCGUAUACGCCCUUAGGGGGAAAGAUUUAUCGGAGAAGGAUUGGCCCGCGUUGGAUCAGCUAGUUGGUGGGGUAAAGGCCUACCAAGGCGACGAUCCAUAGCUGGUCUGAGAGGAUGAUCAGCCACAUUGGGACUGAGACACGGCCCAAACUCCUACGGGAGGCAGCAGUGGGGAAUAUUGGACAAUGGGCGCAAGCCUGAUCCAGCCAUGCCGCGUGAGUGAUGAAGGCCUUAGGGUUGUAAAGCUCUUUCACCGGAGAAGAUAAUGACGGUAUCCGGAGAAGAAGCCCCGGCUAACUUCGUGCCAGCCGCCGCCGUAA
RNAcentral lists this ribosomal RNA (447 nucleotides) under uncultured bacterium. Its description in RNAcentral is "partial 16S ribosomal RNA". It matches the Rfam family "Bacterial small subunit ribosomal RNA", at positions 29 to 523 of the family's 1533-position model. The record is from RNAcentral.